AACAGUAAUUUAGAAAACCUUUUGGUUUUUAUUAUCCUUGUUUUUGCUUAGCCAAUCUCCUCGUAAGCAUUUGGCUGCAGCAAUGUUACAAAAGUUUGCCCAAACACUGGAUUAGCAAAUGGAUUUUUAGAUUAAAAGAUAAUACGUUGCAAAUGCAUGGUUACCAAAUAUCUUUUGCCCCCAUAUUUAGAAAUAACAUACAGAAAUCAAAACAGACCUUGAUGAAAGCUCCUUUCUUGCUUUGGCACAGAAUCUAGUGUUAGAUUCAGAGAGAUUCUGAAUGGACUAAAUAGUGCACUGUAAGAGGUUUUACAAAGAGGAAGGAAAGAGGGAAAAAAACAAGCUUUUCUUCUAAUGCUGGUGGUUCCUGCUAGCUGCAGUGACUUUCUGCAGUUUUCCUGAUUUCUUUACAGAUUUUAUAGCUUAUAUUCAGUCAUCAAAUCUCUCUGCUUCUGCUCUGGUAUUCAGAUGGCAGCCUCCUGUCCACACUACUCCAUUUCACUGGUCAGGGCUCUGAGGCUCUGGGACACAGCCUUGACUGGGUCAACUGCCAUGCAGAAAUUAAUAUUUCAAAUAGACUGUCAGAUCUUUAUGCUCUGAAGGGUUCUCAGAGCCUGGUGGCUCAGCAGCGUAUGUCUGCCUACAGCACGCCAAUGCCAAGCAUCGACAGAGAGAGGUCACCAAGCAUGAAGCUGCUGAAGCAGGCAACACUGGAAAUCUUGGAUACCUCUCGAUAGAUCAAGAAAUCAUUUGGAAGGAGCCAUGAAAUUCCAACAUAAAAGAAUUAGCCUUGCAAAAACCUCUUCUAUUUUACCUCAUAUAUUGUUCAACUCAUAACACUGGGAUAUCUUAGCCUACAGUGAGAACUCAUUUUUAUCUAAUACACAUAAUUAGGCCAAAUCAAUGGAUUACAGAUUAAACAAGCAGGGAAUUUAACUAUGACUGGAAGAACAUUAUGGAUCAGAAGUCCUAAUAAUAUAUGGCCAUCAUUUUAAAAUGCUGGUUAUUUAUUGAAAAUUUUAUCUUGAAGUGGCCUGCAAGAAACUAGCAGCUUUUAAGUUCUUACUAAUUUACUUCACUUGACAACAAAUAUUUAUUUACAUUAAUUUCACAUUUGGUCACAUAUUGAAUGGUUACUGAGCCCUGAGUUUUGCUUGUUUUAAAAUAAAACUGUUAGGUCCUUUGCUUGUUGUUAAAUA
This 1199-nucleotide long non-coding RNA is filed under the name Cyanistes caeruleus (blue tit). RNAcentral describes it as "lncRNA (ENSCCEG00000015708.1)". The record is from RNAcentral. Lineage: Eukaryota; Metazoa; Chordata; Aves; Passeriformes; Paridae.